GAUGAACGCUGGCGGCGUGCCUAAUACAUGCAAGUCGAGCGAUCAGACGAGUUGCUUUCUCCUCUGACUUUAGCGGCGGACAGCGGAUUAACACCUCGUGAACCUACCUAUACGACUUUGUUAACUUCCGCAUACCAGUGCUACUACCGCGUAAUAUAUUUAACCGCUUGCUUCAAUAGUCAAAGACGGUUUUGCUUUCACUUAUAGAUGGAUCCGCGCCGCAUUAGCUUGUUGGUAAGGUAACGGCUUACCAAGGCACCGAUGCGUGGCCGACCUGAGAGGGGGAUCGGCGGAACUGGAACUGAGACGAGGUCGAGAAUCCUACGGGGGGCAGCAGUAGGGAAGAUUACGGAAUGGGCGAAAGCCUGACGGAGCAACGCCGCGUGGGUGAUGAAGGUCGUCGGAUCGUAAAACUCUGUUAUUAGGGGAGAACAAAGGUGGAAGUAACUAUGCACGUCUUGACGGUACCUAAACAGAAAGCCACGGCUAACUACGUG
RNAcentral lists this ribosomal RNA (497 nucleotides) under uncultured bacterium. RNAcentral's name for it is "partial 16S ribosomal RNA". It matches the Rfam family "Bacterial small subunit ribosomal RNA", at positions 28 to 507 of the family's 1533-position model. The record is from RNAcentral.